AACAAAUGCAGAAAAAGCAUUAGAUAAAGUUCACUUCUAUUAAGAAUGAAAAUAAAGGCAUAAAUGGACUUUUUUUUUUUAUUUAAUAGCCUUUUAUUUACAGGUUAUAUGCAUUGGUAACUUUACAGCAUUAACAAUUGCCAAACCUCUUGUUCCAAUUUUUCACCUCUUACCCCUCACUCCCUCCCCUAGAUGGCAGGAUGACCAGUAGAUGUUAAAUACAUUAAAAUAUAAAUUAGAUACACAAUAAAUAUACAUGACCAAAACGUUAUUUUGCUGUACAAAAAGAAUCAGACUCUGAAAUCUUGUACAAUUAGCUUGUGAAGGAAAUCAAAAAUGCAGGUGAGCAUAAAUAUAGGGAUUGGGAAUUCAAUGUAAUGGUUUUUAGUCAUCUCCCAGAGUUCUUUCUCUGGGCGUAGCUGGUUCAGUUCAUUACUGCACUUUUUCUUAAGUUGAUAAGAGGCAUUUACCUAAAACCAUUAGCAAGCAUUAUUUGUGUAGAGAUAAACUAGAAACCUUCCCAGUAAGACCUGUUGUGAACAAAGAUACCCAUUGUCACCAAUAUUAUUCAAUAUUGUACUGGAAAUUCUAGCAAUAGCAAUAAAAAGAAAAAUAAAAGGAAUAAGAAUAGGGAAUGAGAUAAUAAAACUUUCUUGCGGAUGAUAUGAUAAUAUACUUGAAAAAUCCUAAAGACUCAACUAAAAUUUAAUUGAAAUAAUAAUUUCAGCAAAGUAGCAGAAUGUAAAGUAAACCCACAUAAAUUAACAGCAUUCCUAUACAUCACCAACAGGAUUCUGCAGCAAGAGGUAGCUAGAUAAUAUUCCAUUUUAAAAUAACCAGACAGUACAAAGUGCCUGGGAAUACAUCUAUCAAAAAUCCAGGAUCUAUAUGAACAAAACCAUAAAAAGCUUUUUGCACAAACGAAAUCAGAUUUCAAUAAAUGGACAAAUAUUAAUUGUUCAUGGAUAUACAGAGCCAAUAUGAUAAAAAUGAUAAUUUUACCAAAAAUUAAUCUAUAUAUUCAAUGCUAUCCCAAUUAAAUUAUCAAAAAGUUAUUUCAUGGAGCUAGAGAAAUUAAUAAAAUUCACUUGGAAGAACAAGAGGUUAAGAAUAUCAAAAGAUAUGAGGUAGAAAUGUAAAGGAAGGAAGUUUAGAAGUACCAGAUCAUAAAUUAUAAGGCAGUAAUUAUCAAAACUAUCUGGUACUGGCUAAGAAAAGGAAAGAUAGAUUAGUAGAAGAGAAUAGGCACAUAGUCUAUAGCAGCAAAAGAAUAUAGUAACUCUGUAUUUGACAAGUGUAAAAUCUUAAGUUUUUGGAAUAAGAAUUCAUUAUUUGGUAAAAAUUUUUGGGAAAGCUAGGAAGCAGUUUGGCAGAAGUUAAGCAUAGAACAAUAUCUUGCAUCAUUUACUAAGAUAAAGCCAAAUUAAAGGGAAAUAUUAGAAGAAAAUUUGAAGAACUUGGAACGUAUUACCUCUCAAUCAGACUUAUGAAUAGAUCAAUGAUUUAUGAACAAACAAGAGAUAGAAAGUAUUGUGAGAUGUAAAUUAAAUAAUUUUGCUUAUAUUGUUAAAAAUGUUUUGUACAAAUUAAAUGUAGCCAAGCUCAGAAGGAAAAUGGAAAACUCGGGUUGGGGGGUGCAGGGAGCAGGAAUUUAUAGACAGUGCCUCAGAUAAAUGUGUCGUUUCUCAAUUUCAUGAAAAACUUUGGGGAAUAUGAAUCAUUUCCCAAUUGAUAAAUGGUCAAAAGAUAUGAACAAGCAACUUUCUGAUAAAAUAAAAAACAAUUUAGUCACAUAAAAAUGCUCUAAAUCAUUAUUGAUUAGAGAAAUGCAAAUUAAAACAACCUUGAAAUACCAUUUUACACCUAUCAGAUUGGCUAAAAUGAUAGAAGGGGAAAGUUACAAGUAUUGGAAGGGAUAUGGAAAAACUGGGACUUCAAUUCAUUGUCGAUGGAUCUGUGUGCUGAUCCAACCAUUUUCGAGAAAGAUUUUGAAUUUUGAGAAAGAACUGAGUUAUUAAACUGCCUAUCUUUGAUCCAAACAUACAACUAUAAAGUCUUAUUUUUCAAAUUGAUUAGGGAAAAUGGAAAAGAGCCUACAUGUUCUAAAAUGUUUCCAGCAGCUUUCUUUGUGGUGAUAAAUAACUAGAGAUUGUAGGGAUGGCAGCCAAUCGGGCAAUGAAAUUAUGGUAUAUUUGUGAUGGAAUAUUACUUUGCUAUAACAAAUGAUGAGCUCAAUGAUUUUAGAAAAGCAUGGACAAAUCUACAUAAAAUAAUCAAGUGAAAUGAGCAGAAACAAGAGUAUUAUUUUAAAAACAACUUUGAACAAUCAAAUCAUUCUGACUAAAUACCCAAAUUAACUGCAAAGAUCCUAUGAAGGAAGGUGCUGUUUGAAUCCAGAAAAAAGAAGUAUAUGUAUAUAUAGUGUGUGUGUGUGUGUGUGUGUGUGUUUAUGUAUGUAUAUGUAUAUGCAUAUGUGUGUGUUACCUAUAUAUGCCUACACAUUUGUGUCUAAUGGAAACUAUCUCAAAGUUUAGAAUGGGGGAAGAGAAAAAAAUAUAGAAAGUCAUAUACUUUCUUGUAUAUUUGAAAGGAGUAGCAAGUUGUAAAAUGGAUCUGCAAUUUCAGGUGCAAUCCUCUGUUUUUGUAUCCCACUUUGUUAUGGAAAUGUUUGUUUAUUUCUUAAGUUCAGAAU
Molecule: long non-coding RNA, 2692 nt
Organism: Sarcophilus harrisii (Tasmanian devil)
Lineage: Eukaryota; Metazoa; Chordata; Mammalia; Dasyuromorphia; Dasyuridae
Source: Ensembl